This 203-nucleotide long non-coding RNA is filed under the name Mytilus galloprovincialis (Mediterranean mussel). Lineage: Eukaryota; Metazoa; Mollusca; Bivalvia; Mytilida; Mytilidae. The record is from RNAcentral.
UUUUUUUAUAAUAUUAUUAAACAAGGUGUUUACAUUUAAUCCUGUAUUCCAUUAACAGUAAACACAAUCAAUAACAACCUGCACAUCUUUCUUCAACACGGUUAGCUGUGAAAGUCCAUACUUUAUCAAUCAUUGUCAGCACAGAAGGUAAACAUUAUCUCAAUUAACUUUUUUGAUAUUCACAAAACCAUGCUAAAAUUUAC